CUAUUAUGCCGGCUGAAAAACAAGCGUUCUGGAAUAAAACAUGUUCCAGUCGUAACUAUCCAGUGUAUUAUUCAUACGAAUAACACUUGAAGGUGGCAGCGGUGACUAAAGUGAUCACCCACGGAGCAGGACGAGAGGGGGAGUUGUCCGAGGAGAAGUAUGUCGUCGCCCGCACUACACGUGUAAACUGUCGGUACCAACGGAGGAGCCGAGCUAACUGAUAGCAGCGAGAGCUGCACACCUACCGACCAUGAACUGGACCGACCCGGACCUGAGUGAGGCAAUAUCACUGUUUAAACAGAAAAUGAUUCUUUACCUAGAGGACGAAGAAAUAACAGAUGGUGCUAAGCAGGCAAGGAAAGUAUGCCGUGGCAUUGGAGAUGAAGGACUGAAUGCCAGUGGUCGCAGUGAGGAUGACAAGAAGAAGCCUGCUAAACUAUGGGAAUUCUAUGAAGAUAAUUUAUUAUAACUAAGUUAAUGCUUUGUGGAAUAAGACCAGCAGGUCAACCACAGCAUUUGAAAUUGUGGAACGUGAAUGCAAGAUGCAGUUUCUCUGACCCAAUCAAACUCGUUGGAGCGCCAUGUUCUUUGCUGUAGAAAGGGUGGUGCACAUUCAGAAGGAGCGAGGAGAAAAAGCACUCCGCAAUGUGUGCAUAGCACUGCGGAUAAAGAUGCUCAAUACAGCUGAAAUGGCAUUUUUGACUGAGGACCUGAAUAUCCUCCAAGGGCAAUCAUCAUUGCAUAUGGAUUUGGGCUUCCUGCUGCCAACACUUCACCAGUUGCAGGACAAGCUGAAGAAGUUGGAGUCAUCUUGCAAAGUGUGUAGACCUCUCAUUGAUGUCCUGCAGGAGGGGAUCCAGAAACAUUUUGGAGAGAUGAUGAAACAACCUGAGCUGAUUGCAGCAGCUUUACGCCUACCAAAAUUCAGGACAUCCUGGACCACUGAUGAGCAUCUUAAAUGACGGCAUCAAAAAUCACAUGGACACUGACUUGGAGAUGGAUGAUGCUCCCACAAACAGUAGUCACUCUGAUGAAGAUGACUUCUUUGCAUCGCUGAGUACAGGACAAUCAAAAACAGGAGAGCUAGAGAGGUACCUUUCAUGUCCAUCCACUGGAGGUAUGGAUCUCUUGCAUUCCUUUCCUCAAAUCAAGAGCCUGUCACUGAAAAUCAACACAAGCCUCCCAGCAUCUGCAGCCUGUGAGAGACUUUUUAGUCACGCAGGACUCCUGUUCACGGCUAAGAGGUCACAGCUUCACAGUGUGAACCCUGAGAGCCAGUUGUUAUUGAAACUGAAUAGUCACUUAACUGAGUGAUUCUGAAUGAACAUGCAAAACUUCACAUGCACACACACACACACACACUCAUGCAUACAAACACUAAUCAGAAGUGCACAGUGUGUUCCCAGGUGCAGCCCACACCUAUCAGAGUUUAGGGUUUUUGUGAAGGCUAACUUGUUCUUUCCCUUAGUAAUCUCUGUCUACUGAGCCUAUGGUGCUGUUAAGUUAUUGUGGCUCAUUUUGCCUUAAUUUAUUUUAUUUUAAUGUAUUAUUUAAUUUAUAAUACAUGCUUAAAGGCCUAUUGAAACCCACUACUACCGACCACGCAGUCUGAUAGUUUAUAUAUCAAUGAUGAAAUCUUAACAUUAU
This is a long non-coding RNA of Entelurus aequoreus (snake pipefish), 1647 nucleotides long. RefSeq lists it as uncharacterized. Lineage: Eukaryota; Metazoa; Chordata; Actinopteri; Syngnathiformes; Syngnathidae. The transcript is spliced from 4 exons. The record is from RefSeq and is a predicted model, not a curated record.